Molecule: ribosomal RNA, 451 nt
Filed under: uncultured bacterium
Lineage: Bacteria
Description: bacterial SSU rRNA
Rfam family: Bacterial small subunit ribosomal RNA
Source: RNAcentral
AACGAACGCUGGCGGCAGGCUUAACACAUGCAAGUCGAGCGGGCCCUUCGGGGUCAGCGGCGGACGGGUUAGUAACGCGUGGGAACGUGCCUUCUGCUUGGGAAUAGCCCUGGGAAACCGGGGGUAAUGCCCGAUGUGCCCUACGGGGGAAAGAUUUAUCGGCAGGAGAUCGGCCCGCGUCCGAUUAGGUAGUUGGUGGGGUAAAGGCCCACCAAGCCGACGAUCGGUAGCUGGUUUGAGAGGAUGAUCAGCAACACUGGGACUGAGACACGGCCCAGACUCCUACGGGAGGCAGCAGUGGGGAAUCUUAGACAAUGGGGGCAACCCUGAUCUAGCCAUGCCGCGUGGGUGAUGAAGGCCUUAGGGUCGUAAAGCCCUUUCGCUGGGGAAGAUAAUGACGGUACCCAGUAAAGAAACCCCGGCUAACUCCGUGCCAGCCGCCGCAGUAAGA